AGUGAACGCUGGCGGUAGGCCUAACACAUGCAAGUCGAACGGCAGCACAGUAAGAGCUUGCUCUUACGGGUUGCGAGUGGCGGACGGGUGAGGAAUACAUCGUAAUCUACUUUUUCGUGGGAGAUAACGUAGGGAAACUUACGAUAAUACCGCAUACGCCCUACGGGUGAAAGCAGGGGAUCUUCGGACCUUGCGCGAUUGAAUGAGCCGAUGUGGGAUUGGCUAGUUGGCGGGGUAAAGGCCCACCCAGGCGACGAUCCGUAGCUGGUCGGAGAGGCUGGUCAGCGACACUGGAACGUAGACACGGUCCAGGCUCCUACGGGACGCAGCAGUGGGGAAUAUGGGACAAUGGGGGCAAGCAUGAUCCAGCCAUACCGCGUGGGUGAAGAAGGCCUUCGGGGUAUAAAGCCCUUUUGUGGGGAGAGAAAAGCAGCAGGUUAAUACCCAGCUGUUCUGACGGUACCCAAAGAAUAAGCACCGGCUAACUUCGUG
RNAcentral lists this ribosomal RNA (492 nucleotides) under uncultured bacterium. RNAcentral's name for it is "partial 16S ribosomal RNA". It matches the Rfam family "Bacterial small subunit ribosomal RNA", at positions 29 to 507 of the family's 1533-position model. The record is from RNAcentral.